UACGUAGGUGGCAAGCGUUGUCCGGAAUUAUUGGGCGUAAAGCGCGCGCAGGCGGUCCUUUAAGUCUGAUGUGAAAGCCCACGGCUCAACCGUGGAGGGUCAUUGGAAACUGGGGGACUUGAGUACAGAAGAGAAGAGUGGAAUUCCACGUGUAGCGGUGAAAUGCGUAGAGAUGUGGAGGAACACCAGUGGCGAAGGCGACUCUUUGGUCUGUAACUGACGCUGAGGCGCGAAAGCGUGAGGAGCAAACAGG
Molecule: ribosomal RNA, 253 nt
Filed under: uncultured bacterium
Lineage: Bacteria
Description: partial 16S ribosomal RNA
Rfam family: Bacterial small subunit ribosomal RNA
Source: RNAcentral